RNAcentral lists this ribosomal RNA (254 nucleotides) under uncultured bacterium. Its description in RNAcentral is "partial 16S ribosomal RNA". It matches the Rfam family "Bacterial small subunit ribosomal RNA", at positions 524 to 776 of the family's 1533-position model. The record is from RNAcentral.
UACGGAGGGUGCGAGCGUUGUUCGGAAUCACUGGGCGUAAAGGGCGUGUAGGCGGUCCGCUAAGUCUGAUGUGAAAACCCGGGGCUCAACCCCGGGCGUGCAUCUCGAUACUGCCCGACUAGAGGUAGGUAGGGGAGAUCGGAAUUCCUGGUGUAGCGGUGAAAUGCGCAGAUAUCAGGAGGAACACCGGUGGCGAAGGCGGAUCUCUGGGCCUUACCUGACGCUCAGGCGCGAAAGCUAGGGGAGCGAACAGG